This 468-nucleotide ribosomal RNA is filed under the name uncultured bacterium. Its description in RNAcentral is "partial 16S ribosomal RNA". It matches the Rfam family "Bacterial small subunit ribosomal RNA", at positions 28 to 507 of the family's 1533-position model. The record is from RNAcentral.
GACGAACGCUGGCGGCGUGCUUAACACAUGCAAGUCGAACGGAAAGGCCCUGCUUUUGUGGGGUGCUCGAGUGGCGAACGGGUGAGUAACACGUGAGUAACCUGCCCUUGACUUUGGGAUAACUUCAGGAAACUGGGGCUAAUACCGGAUAGGAGCUCCUGCUGCAUGGUGGGGGUUGGAAAGUUUCGGCGGUUGGGGAUGGACUCGCGGCUUAUCAGCUUGUUGGUGGGGUAGUGGCUUACCAAGGCUUUGACGGGUAGCCGGCCUGAGAGGGUGACCGGCGUCAAUGGUCCUGCGAUACGCCCCAGACGCCUACGGUGGGCAGUGGUGGGGAGUCUUGCACAGUGGGCGGGCGCCUGAUGCAGCGACGCCCCGGUCGUGAUGACGGUCUGUGGGGUGAAAACAGCUUUCGCCUGUGACGAAGCGUUAGUGACGGUAAUGGAUAAAGAAGCACCGGCUAACUACGUG